CUCGGAGGUGGGGUCCCUCAGCCCGGAUUGUGAGAGGGCACAGGCCAGGCCUAGGGAUCCCACUGUGCAUG
Molecule: microRNA precursor, 71 nt
Filed under: Myotis lucifugus (little brown bat)
Lineage: Eukaryota; Metazoa; Chordata; Mammalia; Chiroptera; Vespertilionidae
Description: mir-9193 microRNA precursor family
Rfam family: mir-9193 microRNA precursor family
Source: Rfam by way of RNAcentral